AACGAACGCUGGCGGCAUGCCUAACACAUGCAAGUCGAACGAAGCCUUCGGGCUUAGUGGCGCACGGGUGCGUAACGCGUGGGAAUCUGCCCUCAGGUACGGAAUAACUCAGGGAAACUUGAGCUAAUACCGUAUAAUGACUUCGGUCCAAAGAUUUAUCGCCUGAGGAUGAGCAGGGGUCGGAUUAGCCAGUUGGUUGGGUAAAGGCUCACCAAGGCGACGAUCCGUAGUUGGUCUGAGAGGAUGAUCAGCCACACUGGGACUGAGACACGGCCCAGACUCCUACGGGAGGCAGCAGUGGGGAAUAUUGGACAAUGGGCGCAAGCCUGAUCCAGCAAUGCCGCGUGAGUGAUGAAGGCCUUAGGGUUGUAAAGCUCUUUUACCCGGGAAGAUAAUGACUGUACCGGGAGAAUAAGCCCCGGCUAACUCCGUGCCAGCCGCCGCAGUAA
RNAcentral lists this ribosomal RNA (449 nucleotides) under uncultured bacterium. RNAcentral's name for it is "partial 16S ribosomal RNA". It matches the Rfam family "Bacterial small subunit ribosomal RNA", at positions 29 to 523 of the family's 1533-position model. The record is from RNAcentral.